This 73-nucleotide transfer RNA is filed under the name Gemmatimonadota bacterium. RNAcentral describes it as "tRNA-Val". It matches the Rfam family "tRNA". From Rfam's summary of the family: Transfer RNA (tRNA) molecules are approximately 80 nucleotides in length. Their secondary structure includes four short double-helical elements and three loops (D, anti-codon, and T loops). Further hydrogen bonds mediate the characteristic L-shaped molecular structure. tRNAs have two regions of fundamental functional importance: the anti-codon, which is responsible for specific mRNA codon recognition, and the 3' end, to which the tRNAs corresponding amino acid is attached (by aminoacyl-tRNA synthetases). tRNAs cope with the degeneracy of the genetic code in two manners: having more than one tRNA (with a specific anti-codon) for a particular amino acid; and 'wobble' base-pairing, i.e. permitting non-standard base-pairing at the 3rd anti-codon position. RNAcentral also lists the same sequence under 2 other names. Lineage: Bacteria; Pseudomonadati; Gemmatimonadota. The record is from RNAcentral.
GGCCGCUUAGCUCAGCUGGUAGAGCACUACGCUCACAUCGUAGGGGUCGCUGGUUCGAGUCCAGCAGCGGCCA